GUUAAGGAUGUUGGUAGUGAAUAUGCUCCUGACGAAGAGUCUGAAACUGAGUCGACCGAUUGGGAAGCGCUUACUCCGGAAGUGUUGUCGAAGAAGAAGAAAGGGAAAGAACCGGUAGUUUCAGAAAAAGAAAAAGACAAAGGAAAGGGCAGAGAAAAAGGAAAAGGAAAGGAGAAAUUGGCGUAUUCUCGUAGUCGAAAAAAGAGUGGGGGUAUUGAAAUUCGUGAA
Molecule: long non-coding RNA, 228 nt
Filed under: Ananas comosus (pineapple)
Lineage: Eukaryota; Viridiplantae; Streptophyta; Magnoliopsida; Poales; Bromeliaceae
Description: long non-coding RNA (ACOM_LNC043887)
Source: RNAcentral